This is a long non-coding RNA of Physeter macrocephalus (sperm whale), 297 nucleotides long. RefSeq lists it as uncharacterized. The transcript has 3 exons. The record is from RefSeq and is a predicted model, not a curated record. Lineage: Eukaryota; Metazoa; Chordata; Mammalia; Artiodactyla; Physeteridae.
UAAUAAAGAUGUGUGCACAAGAGGCUAUGGGAGCAGAAAAGGGCCCAGAUGGCUUGAGUGAGACUGAGAAGGGCUGAGGAGUGCCCUAGUGUCAGCCAUUUCUCCAAGGAGCCCUAGUUCUUUUUAAUGGAGACUGGUGUUUGGAAGCCAAGAUAUGGACUCAGAUGUGCAUUCAUUGUUAUUGGGGCAUCUCUGCUCACAAGCCUUCUCGAUGAAAAAGCUAAGAAACACAUGCAGCCAGGUUGCAUGGCACUGUACUGACAGAUAAGAAGUGUCGAAGACCAGAGUCGUAUUGCU